ACAAUUAUAACCGUUCGCCAGGAU
This 24-nucleotide non-coding RNA is filed under the name Arabidopsis thaliana (thale cress). The record is from RNAcentral. Lineage: Eukaryota; Viridiplantae; Streptophyta; Magnoliopsida; Brassicales; Brassicaceae.